UCCUACGGGAGGCAGCAGUGGGGAAUAUUGGACAAUGGGUGCAAGCCUGAUCCAGCCAUGCCGCGUGAGUGAUGAAGGCCUUAGGGUUGUAAAGCUCUUUUGUCGGGGACGAUAAUGACGGUACCCGAAGAAUAAGCUCCGGCUAACUUCGUGCCAGCAGCCGCGGUAAUACGAAGGGAGCUAGCGUUGUUCGGAAUCACUGGGCGUAAAGCGCACGUAGGCGGAUUUGUUAGUCAGGGGUGAAAUCCCGGGGCUAAACCUCGGAACUGCCUUUGAUACUGCAAAUCUCGAGUCCGAUAGAGGUGGGUGGAAUUCCUAGUGUAGAGGUGAAAUUCGUAGAUAUUAGGAAGAACACCGGUGGCGAAGGCGGCCACUGGAUCGGUACUGACGCUGAGGUGCGAAAGCGUGGGGAGCAAACAGGAUUAGAUACCCCUGUAGUC
RNAcentral lists this ribosomal RNA (440 nucleotides) under uncultured Hyphomicrobium sp. RNAcentral describes it as "bacterial SSU rRNA". It matches the Rfam family "Bacterial small subunit ribosomal RNA", at positions 337 to 795 of the family's 1533-position model. The record is from RNAcentral. Lineage: Bacteria; Pseudomonadati; Pseudomonadota; Alphaproteobacteria; Hyphomicrobiales; Hyphomicrobiaceae.